RNAcentral lists this ribosomal RNA (426 nucleotides) under uncultured bacterium. RNAcentral describes it as "bacterial SSU rRNA". It matches the Rfam family "Bacterial small subunit ribosomal RNA", at positions 355 to 773 of the family's 1533-position model. The record is from RNAcentral.
UAAGGAAUAUUGGACAAUGCCCGCAAGGGUGAUCCAGCAAUGCCGCGUGCAGGAUGAAGGCCUUCGGGUUGUAAACUGCUUUUGUACGGAGCGAAAAGGUCUGCCCUAAUACGGUGGGCUCAUGACGGUACCGUAAGAAUAAGCACCGGCUAACUACGUGCCAGCAGCCGCGGUAAUACGUAGGGUGCGAGCGUUAAUCGGAAUUACUGGGCGUAAAGCGUGCGCAGGCGGUUAUAUAAGACAGAGGUGAAAUCCCCGGGCUCAACCUGGGACCUGCAUUUGUGCCUGUCUAGCUAGAGUACGGUAGAGGGGGAUGGAAUUCCGCGUGUAGCAGUGAAAUGCGUAGAUAUGCGGAGGAACACCGAUGGCGAAGGCAAUCCCCUGGACCUGUACUGACGCUCAUGCACGAAAGCGUGGGGAGCAAAC